AUUGAACGCUGGCGGCAGGCCUAACACAUGCAAGUCGAGCGGAUGAAGGGAGCUUGCUCCUGGAUUCAGCGGCGGACGGGUGAGUAAUGCCUAGGAAUCUGCCUGGUAGUGGGGGAUAACGUCCGGAAACGGGCGCUAAUACCGCAUACGUCCUGAGGGAGAAAGUGGGGGAUCUUCGGACCUCACGCUAUCAGAUGAGCCUAGGUCGGAUUAGCUAGUUGGUGGGGUAAAGGCCUACCAAGGUGACGAUCCGUAACUGGUCUGAGAGGAUGAUCAGUCACACUGGAACUGAGACACGGUCCAGACUCCUACGGGAGGCAGCAGUGGGGAAUAUUGGACAAUGGGCGAAAGCCUGAUCCAGCCAUGCCGCGUGUGUGAAGAAGGUCUUCGGAUUGUAAAGCACUUUAAGUUGGGAGGGAGGGCAGUAAGUUAAUACCUUGCUGUUUUGACGUUACCAACAGAAUAAGCACCGGCUAACUUCGUG
Molecule: ribosomal RNA, 484 nt
Filed under: uncultured bacterium
Lineage: Bacteria
Description: partial 16S ribosomal RNA
Rfam family: Bacterial small subunit ribosomal RNA
Source: RNAcentral